This is a long non-coding RNA of Haliotis rubra (blacklip abalone), 1323 nucleotides long. RefSeq lists it as uncharacterized. Lineage: Eukaryota; Metazoa; Mollusca; Gastropoda; Lepetellida; Haliotidae. The transcript has 6 exons. The record is from RefSeq and is a predicted model, not a curated record.
UUACACAUUUUCAAAGCACGAAAUGUGUAGAAACCAUGUACCAUGUAGCAAGAACUCCAAAACGAGGUGCAACCCUCUGGAUGCCCAAGUUCCUUCCUGAGGUACAUAUGGUUUAUUAAUUUUAUAGCCACAGGUAAAUUCAGCUCCGUGCGAGCACAAUUCUUGAACAACGAACGUUCACGUUUCAAAUGUUUAAUAAUGUGCGUCAGAAAAACACAACAACUCUGCUACAGGUAGUUAAGGCAGCCAGUAACAAUUGUCGAACGUCACCAACCCGUUCAAAUCCUGGAAUAUCGCACAGCGGGAUAGCCAAACAGCUCCAUUAAAACACAUGCCAAUGUCAUCUGUACUGACACGAGUCCAAUACACCCAAUACCCUCUUCGGUCGAGACGUUCUGACAAUGUUUGCCAACUACUGCGUCUUUCGUUUUCUGCUGGAAAAAAUGUGGUUUAGACAAUCCUUUCUAGUCUUUAACAACAGAUUGUGUGGAGUUCCCAGAAUAUAUUAAAAAAUAGGUUUAUGUUUAUUUGCGUUGACGUUACUGGAGUUUUAAAUUUCUGAAUGCUGCUUUUUUUCUUUAAUGGCGUUUUCCUGUCGUGUCCGGUUCAACUAAACGGGCAGACAACAACUACCUAGCUCCUUUGAUAGGACACCUGGAUCGUUCUAAAUUACGAACAUGCGUGGGUUUACGGAUCUAGCCUACUAUAAAUAGCUGCCACCACACAAGUUCUUCACUCCAGCCCUGGACCAGGCACAGAAGACAUCACAGUCAUCUACAACUCUAGGUUUGGAACCCGAACUAGCUUCAGGAACAAUGGCAAACUGGGGCGGCUCUCCCAAAGUGACCCUCUUCGAGAAACCCAAUUUUUGCGGUUGCCGUCUUGAUGUCUACAUGAAUCUUCCAGAAUUGGGGAACUUUGACAACACGGUUUCCUCGGCCGUUGUACACGAGGGAGAUUGGGCCCUUUACUCCGAGAUCAAAUACUCUGGAGCGCGGUUGGUCAUAAAAGAAGGACAGUGCUACGCUACACUUCCUGGCGUGAAUAACGCUGCUUCCUCCAUCUGUAAAAUGUGAGAUGAAGACAACGCAAAGCAACAGCCAGCUCUUUCAUUGAUGGAAGACUCGCCGAUAUGACAACAACUUGUUUACUAUUCUCCUAAGCACGUACACUGACGAUACCUACAUUCUCUACAUAUUUGUCAACAAAGGUUGUGUUAUAACCUCCCUGUAUCUGCAUAAUCUUCUAGAAUGUUCUGUUGAAGCAACUGCAGUUAGAAAAGAAUUUGAAUUUGUAUAAAAGGAAGAAUUGUACAGAUUUGAC